AUGUCUCUACCUUCUAAAAUAAUAUCUCCUUCGUCCGAUGAGUUUUUUGAGCUUUGUGUUAGUAAACUUCACUCCAUCUUUACGGGUUUCAAGUACUAUGAAUUGGAUCAAGAUCACCAGCAAUUUGUCUGUGCAAGUUUUCUAAUAGUAAAAUCUCUACCAACGGAUUUCAGCUCGGAAACAUAUAGAGGGAAGUGGAGCAAGACUUCAACUCAGAAUUUGUAUCCUUCUCAACAUUAG
Molecule: non-coding RNA, 240 nt
Organism: Vicia faba (fava bean)
Lineage: Eukaryota; Viridiplantae; Streptophyta; Magnoliopsida; Fabales; Fabaceae
Source: the annotation of a GenBank genome assembly